This is a long non-coding RNA of Paramormyrops kingsleyae, 3406 nucleotides long. RefSeq lists it as uncharacterized. The record is from RefSeq and is a predicted model, not a curated record. NCBI's taxonomy places the organism in Eukaryota, Metazoa, Chordata, Actinopteri, Osteoglossiformes, Mormyridae.
UUAUAGCUCAGAUAAUUCAGUGGCCUUCAUAAUCAAUAAGGACUACGUCGGACAAAAAACGUUCGUUUUAUAUCCCGCUGGGCGAGUCCCGAUCCAUCACCUUCAUGCACUUUUCUUGCUAUACUGAUCCUAUGCGGAACUGGUGUAAUAUACAAUUAUCCAGUUGGCAAAGACAUUUAAUAAAGGGUUCGCCAGUAUUCCUGAUUUGACACAGCCAAGACUUUUUUCCCUUUUAUGACUGUAAUUUCUAAACGUGAAUAAUAACUGCUUCCCUAUCUUAAAAAAUAAAAUAAUAAAACUGGAUUAGUGACCUUGUAGAUAAAGAAACGCUAUAUUUUUCGGAGUGUAGGUGCGUGGAUAGCAAAUACAGGCCUUUGUGCGAGUAUGUGUCUUUUAUUUUACUAUUCAGCACGGAAAGAAAAUUCCUUUCUGUUUGUAAGUACAAGUUGUAGAACAGCAAAUUCGUUGCAUAUUUCACUAUAGAACUUGGAUUAGAAAAAACGCUUAGUUCAAUACAAUCGAUAUACAAUAGAUGUAGAGUUUAUAUCCAACAAAAGAAACAAAGUUCUUAAUAUUUCAGAGCACGUCGGGUCUCAGACACAGGGUAGGACCAUUCUUCGGGAAUCCCAAAAACUUGUAGACACUCCAGCCUCGUUGUGCAGUACUCCAUUCGGUGGACAAGGCAAAAUCGUGUGGGCAAAGUUUCUGUACCGGCCUCCUUACACCCCGGCCCCGCCUUUCCUCUCUACAUCAUGUGGGUGGAAUAUGAUUCUGUUUGACUCAGAGCCACUAAACAAGUAUAAUGGCUUUAGUAUUAGCGGCAAUUUUAAAUGGAAGGGUGGCAAGGGAUGGCUGGAUAUUUGGUGAAGAAGGUUAGUGAGAUCCACGUACAUGCUAACAUGGCUUUUCCCCGGGGUGUUUUUUGAUUCUUUACAGCACCUGCAAUAUAACUUUAAAACAUUUGGAAAAUCCAAGGAAAGGGUGAUGGCUCAUUGGAAGAGAAGAACAAAAUAGACCCAUCUAAACAUUUCCCUCAACAGCGACAACAGUUAGGCUUCCUGAAGGUAAGGUGGCAGCAAUUCAGGAGAGGGAGACCAUGAGGACUGCAUGCUUCUCAAGCUUUUGAUGGAAAAGUGCAGCCUUUUCACACUGGGGAUACUUUGUUCAUCUGCAACAGCAUUGAGAAGACAGGCACUGAUUUUCUUGAGCUGAAUACUGGAAAGUUUUUCACCCAUGAAUGAAAGAGGCGUGCACAAAGAUACUACACUGACCAGCUGUAACAUAAAAUUGCUGGUUUCUCAACUGAGUGGUGCACUAGAAAAACUUUUUUUUUCCUUUCCCGAGUUGUAAAUUAGAUUAUGAACUGAUCCUGUCUAUUUUUACUGCAAAGUGGGCCUCUUUUUUUGUCCACAUUUCUGGUCGUGAAAAACAGAUUCGUAACCACUUCACAAUGUCGGGAUUUACAUGGUGAUGUAUUUCAUUCAUUUUUUGUAUUGAAAAAAAAUAAAGAAAUUCAAGACUUUAGUCAAGUAUGUCUCAAAGAAAACCUAUACAAGCACAUGACAAGCACAUGACAAGCCAAAAGCUCUGGUCAGUAUAUUUGGAUGAAGUUCUCUUUUACAUUACUGUAUCUGUGCCUAUGUCUAAAACUGGAAGAUCCAUCAAUAGCUCUCCUAUUAAAGAAAUUGCAAAGGUAAUGUUUCCACAGCAAAAGUGAUAAUAACUCAGCUCACUACUUUUCCAAAAUACUUGAUGUCUCCUUCAGAUUUUCUAAUACAGUUUUUGAUAAAACAUUUUUAGAAUAUAAAUAUCUGCCUAAAUAUUAUUUCACUAAAUAUAUUGAUAUUAAACCAAGAUUUAUUGAACAUUUUAGAUUAAGAACCCCACCAUUUAAAUAAGAACUGCAGAAACCACUGUUGCAUUUCUCAAGAACAACUGAAUUGAAAUAAAGACAUGACUCAGCACUGGAAAUGGGCACUUUAUUACAAAAUCAGGUUGGAUUGAUCCACAGUAAUAUUCCUAAAAAUUAUAAUUCUUUCAUUUCAGCACUUUAAAAAAAUUCUUGAUGCAUGAAUUUGACCUUUGGGAUGUUAAGGUUCUGUUGGGAUAGUCUAUCUGACCUAUGCUGAAGGUUUUAAGAAAGUUAUGGAUUUUUGAUUUGCCACAACAGAACUUUGAUUGAAAACAACUUUUGUGCUAAUAACAAUAGGAAAUCCUCUGAAGCAAUGAAAUAAGCUAAAGAAGUGCAUUUUCGUUACUUCUUACUAAAAUGUAUUACAAUGCCCUGAUAGAUAGUAUUAUUUGAUAAAUGCAUGUCAAAACUUUCCACAUUGAAAUUCUAUUUCUUAAAGUGAAGUGAAGAAUAUUAUUGUGUGUCUAGGUAAAAAAUGUAAAAAAUAGUAAACCAUAAACUAAAAAUGGUAAAUUGUAUAGAUGACCCAGUUAGUAUAGCAACUGCUCUUGAGAUUUUUAUUUGAGCAGAAAUUACCUCUAACUUAAAUCAUAGGGCUCAAUAUAACCAACAGGACAAAUUGUUAUUUUUAUAGGUGAAAUAACUAUGCUGGUGCAGUCACCCUGCUAAGCCCAUUCUCACUUUAUUUCAUUUAUUAAAUCUUGCCUAAAAUAGCCAUAUCUGUCUAAAGGCAAAUCACGGUCAGCAGGAAGCAAAUGUGUUCAAGGUGGAAAAACUGUGACAGAGAGGUCGCAGGUUAAUGUGCUAGCAGUGGACCGAUUUUAUGAAAACUCUGGAAUAAAACUCUUUACUGUAUGUAAAUGGAACUUUGGUAAUUAGCAAUGUAAGCUUAAAGAAAGCAUCACAUGCUACGUAAAAUUAUGAACCAUCUACUUUUACCAUUUUAUUGUUUUAUUUUCCAUGAGGAACCAAGAGGAAGGACAACUUUGCCCUCAAGAACUCUUGUGUGUAUCAAAAAGGCAAGCUCCUAAAACCAGCCGGCUGACACUGUAUAUAGUUCAUUCUGUCAAUUUAUUAAAAAAAAUGGGAUUCACAAACCUCCUUGUUUGCACUCUCAGCACAGAAUGAACAACAAAGCCACGGGUGCAGCCUCAGUGAGCUGAGAUACAGAACAUUGAAAAUGCAUGUGCUUCGGCCUUGUGAUAGACUUGGAGAGGGAGCGCUGGCUGGGGCACAUCCUUGGCUCUCCUCUAUUAGCAGUGUCACAUCUCACUGUUUAACCCCCUCGCUUGGGAGACCCUUUUAUUUUCCUGGAGAGCCCUGCAGCUCCGUGGUUUAAACAAGUGAAAUUCUUUCUGCCUUUCAAUUAAUAUGCUCCCUGCAGCACUGAACCCAGACUAUUUCAGGGUUAGGCUACAGUGAACAGUGAGAUUUUUCCAGCAGGGCAGCUUCUAUCUAUUCAUUUGUUUUCUUAUAUAUAUUUUUGUUACAUAU